ACGGCAGCACAGAGAAGUCUUCUCUUCUCGGGCGGCGAGCGGCGAAACGGGCGAGUCACAUAUCGGAAACGUACCGAGCCAGCGGGGGAUAAACUAAUCGAAAAGAAUAGCUAAUACCGCAUAUUUUUCUGAGGAAGAAAAGCAGGGGACCAUUUCGGCCUUCGCGCUCGUUUCGAGCGGCCGAAUAUCUGAUUAGCUAGUUCGGUCGGGGUAAAAGGCCUACCAAGGCGAACGAUCAGUAGCGGGUCUGAAGAGGAUGAUUCCGCCACACUGGGACUGAGACACGGCCCAGACUCCUACGGGAGGCAGCAGUGGGGAAAUUUUUGGACAAUGGGCGCCAAGCCUGAUCCCAGCCAUGCCGCGUGUCUGAAGAAAGGCCUUUCGGGUUUGUAAAGGACUUUUGUCAGGGAAAGAAAAGGGCGGGGUUAAUACCCCUGUCUGAAUGACGGUACCUGAAGAAUAAGCACCGGCUAACUACGUGCCAGCCAGCCGCGGUAAUACGUAGGGUGCGAGCCGUUAAUCGGGAAUUACUGGGCGUAAAGCGGGCGCCAGACGGUUACUUAAGCAGGAUGUGAAAUCCCCGGGCUCAACCUGGGAACUGCGUUCUGAACUGGGUAACUAGAGUGUGUCAGAGGGAGGUAGAAUUCCACGUGUAGCAGUGAAAUGCGUAGAGAUGUGGAGGAAUACCGAUGGCGAAGGCAGCCUCCUGGGAUAACACUGACGUUCAUGCCCGAAAGCGUGGGUAGCAAACAGGAUUAGAUACCCUGGUAGUCCACGCCCUAAACGAUGUCGAUUAGCUGUUGGGCAGCAUGACUGCUUAGUAGCGAAGCUAACGCGUGAAAAUCGACCGCCUGGGGAGUACGGUCGCAAGAUUAAAAACUCAAAAGGAAAUUGACGGGGACCCGCACAAGCGGUGGAUGAUGUGGAUUAAAUUCGAUGCAAACGCGAAGAACCUUACCUGGUCUUGACAUGUACGGAAACCCUCCAGAGACGGAGGGGUGCCUUCGGGAGCCGUAACACAGGUGCUGCAUGGCUGCCGUCAGCUCGUGUCGUGAGAUGUUGGGUUAAGUCCCGCAACGAGCGCAACCCUUGUCAUUAGUUGCCAUCAUUAAGUUGGGCGACUCUAAUGAGACUGCCGGUGACGAAGCCGGAGGAAGGUGGGGAUGACGUCGAAGUCCUCAUGGCCCUUAUGACCAGGGCUUCACACGUCAUACGAAUGGUCGGUACAGAGGGUAGCCGAAGCCGCGAGGUGGAGCCGAAUUCUCGACGAAAACCGAAUUCGUAGUUCCGGAUUGCGCUCUGCGAACUCGAGUGCGUGAA
RNAcentral lists this ribosomal RNA (1320 nucleotides) under uncultured bacterium. RNAcentral's name for it is "bacterial SSU rRNA". It matches the Rfam family "Bacterial small subunit ribosomal RNA", at positions 63 to 1324 of the family's 1533-position model. The record is from RNAcentral.